CCAUCUUGUUGGCUACUGUCCGACUGAGUCUUCCUUCCUAGUGACAAGCUCCAUUGCCAAGGGGAUGGAUGUGAAGUCACAAUCAGAAGCACUCUAUUAAUAAGAACAAGGAAGAGAAAGAGUGGGCAACUGUGAAGGACAGAUAAAGCAGCAAAGAUUAGACUGACCAUAACUCAUCACUACAUAAAUGGAACUAAACAGAUGAAGAUGGCUUCAGAUAAAGGGAACUGAGAGAUUCAUUCAACUCUAUACAGAAGAAUGACAACUAUUCAAACUCCUUUCCUUACUAGCACGUCUAUCAAUUGUUUAAGGGCCAGGUUGGGAACACUUUCCAAGGCUUUCCGGUGUGCCGUGUGAAAGUGCCAGCGGACCAGAAUGCAAACCAAGGGCAGUGACGUGAGGAAUGUGAAAUUUCUUUAUAGAGGACAAGAAGGGGGGAGAGGAUCGAGGAAGGAAUGAAAAGGAAGGACAAGGCUGCCAAAGACAAGGUAUGGGAGACGAGCCAAGCUAUGGCGCUUUGAGGGCGGAGGUUCGGGUUCCGCUGCCACUGCCCAGGCUCGUCCCCGCAGUGUUCCCUUCUUCCCCUCCUGAACGUCAGUCAUCGCCUAUUUAAAUACCACAUUGCUCCCCUCUGUCCGCUGCUCCCUGUCAUCCAGCCAGCCCAGGCCUCCCCCCGCACUUCUCAAGGCUCCCCUACUCCAACGGACCGUCCCCAACAACUCAUCCUCCAAAAGGUCCCUUCUCACCUCUUGACUCCUCCCCAGUGCUGCUCCCUUCCCCCAUUUUAAUCUUUAUUCCUAUCGUCCUCCUGCAUCCCAAUAUCUCGAACCCCCACCCGAAUCCCCCGGGACAUCGCCCCCA
This is a long non-coding RNA of Nycticebus coucang (slow loris), 861 nucleotides long. RefSeq lists it as uncharacterized. NCBI's taxonomy places the organism in Eukaryota, Metazoa, Chordata, Mammalia, Primates, Lorisidae. The record is from RefSeq and is a predicted model, not a curated record. The transcript has 3 exons.